GAUGAAGAACGCAGCGAAAUGCGAUAAGUAGUGUGAAUUGCAGAAUUCAGUGAAUCAUCGAAUCUUUGAACGCACAUUGCGCCCUUUGGUAUUCCAAAGGGCAUGCCUGUUCGAGCGUCAUUUGUACCCUCAAGCUUUGCUUGGUGUUGGGCGUCUUGUCUCUAGCUUUACUGGAGACUCGCCUUAAAGUAAUUGGCAGCCGGCCUACUGGUUUCGGAGCGCAGCACAAGUCGCACUCUCUAUCAGCAAAGGUCUAGCAUCCAUUAAGCCUUUUUUUCAACUUUUGACCUCGGAUCAGGUAGGGAUACCCGCUGAACUUAAGCAUAUCAAUAAGCGGAGGA
RNAcentral lists this unclassified non-coding RNA (341 nucleotides) under soil metagenome. RNAcentral describes it as "partial contains 5.8S ribosomal RNA, internal transcribed spacer 2, and large subunit ribosomal RNA". The stretch from base 1 to 120 matches the Rfam family "5.8S ribosomal RNA", at positions 35 to 154 of the family's 154-position model. The record is from RNAcentral.